Molecule: ribosomal RNA, 492 nt
Filed under: uncultured bacterium
Lineage: Bacteria
Description: partial 16S ribosomal RNA
Rfam family: Bacterial small subunit ribosomal RNA
Source: RNAcentral
AGUGAACGCUGGCGGUAGGCCUAACACAUGCAAGUCGAGCGGCAGCACAGUAAGAGCUUGCUCUUACGGGUGGCGAGUGGCGGACGGGUGAGGAAUACAUCGGAAUCUACUUUUUCGUGGGGGAUAACGUAGGGAAACUUACGCUAAUACCGCAUACGACCUACGGGUGAAAGCAGGGGAUCUUCGGACCUUGCGCGAUUGAAUGAGCCGAUGUCGGAUUAGCUAGUUGGCGGGGUAAAGGCCCACCAAGGCGACGAUCCGUAGCUGGUCUGAGAGGAUGAUCAGCCACACCGGAACUGAGACACGGUCCAGACUCCUACGGGAGGCAGCAGUGGGGAAUAUUGGACAAUGGGCGCAAGCCUGAUCCAGCCAUACCGCGUGGGUGAAGAAGGCCUUCGGGUUGUAAAGCCCUUUUGUUGGGAAAGAAAAGCAGCAGGUUAAUACCCCGCUGUUCUGACGGUACCCAAAGAAUAAGCACCGGCUAACUUCGUG